UACGUAUGGAGCAAGCGUUAUCCGGAUUUACUGGGCGUAAAGGGAGCGUAGGCGGCCUGCCAAGUCUGAUGUGAAAUACCGGGGCUCAACCCCGGGGCUGCAUUGGAAACUGGCAGGCUGGAGUGCCGGAGAGGCAGGCGGAAUUCCUAGUGUAGCGGUGAAAUGCGUAGAGAUUAGGAAGAACACCAGUGGCGAAGGCGACUUACUGGACCGUAACUGACGCUGAGGCAUGAGAGCAUGGGGAGCAAACAGG
RNAcentral lists this ribosomal RNA (253 nucleotides) under uncultured Lachnospiraceae bacterium. Its description in RNAcentral is "partial 16S ribosomal RNA". It matches the Rfam family "Bacterial small subunit ribosomal RNA", at positions 524 to 776 of the family's 1533-position model. Lineage: Bacteria; Bacillati; Bacillota; Clostridia; Lachnospirales; Lachnospiraceae. The record is from RNAcentral.